CCUACGGGUGGCAGCAGUAGGGAAUCUUCCACAAUGGACGAAAGUCUGAUGGAGCAACGCCGCGUGUGGGAAGAAGGUUUUCGGAUUGUAAACCACUGUUCUUGGUGAAGAUAAUGACGGUAACCAAGGAGAAAGCUCCGGCUAACUACGUGCCAGCAGCCGCGGUAAUACGUAGGGAGCAAGCGUUGUCCGGAUUUACUGGGUGUAAAGGGUGCGUAGGCGGUCUUGCAAGUCAGACGUGAAAACCACAGGCUCAACCUGUGGACUGCGUUUGAAAGUGUGGGGUUUGAGUGAAGUAGAGGUAGGCGGAAUUCCCGGUGUAGCGGUGAAAUGCGUAGAGAUCGGGAGGAACACCAGUGGCGAAGGCGGCCUUCUGGGCUUUAACUGACGCUGAGGCACGAAAGCAUGGGUAGCAAACAGGAUUAGAUACCCGAGUAGUC
RNAcentral lists this ribosomal RNA (440 nucleotides) under uncultured bacterium. RNAcentral's name for it is "partial 16S ribosomal RNA". It matches the Rfam family "Bacterial small subunit ribosomal RNA", at positions 338 to 795 of the family's 1533-position model. The record is from RNAcentral.